Molecule: ribosomal RNA, 370 nt
Filed under: uncultured Nitrososphaerota archaeon
Lineage: Archaea; Thermoproteati; Nitrososphaerota
Description: bacterial SSU rRNA
Rfam family: Archaeal small subunit ribosomal RNA
Source: RNAcentral
AGCAUCCGUAGCUCGUUUUGUAAGUUUUCGGUUAAAUCCAUGCGCUUAACGUAUGGGCUGCCGGGAAUACUGCAUAACUAGGAAGUGGGAGAGGUAGACGGUACUCGGUAGGAAGGGGUAAAAUCCUUUGAUCUAUUGAUGACCACCUGUGGCGAAGGCGGUCUACCAGAACACGUUCGACGGUGAGGGAUGAAAGCUGGGGGAGCAAACCGGAUUAGAUACCCGGGUAGUCCCAGCUGUAAAUUAUGCAAACUCAGUGAUGCGUUGGCUUGUGGCCAAUGCAGUGCUGCAGGGAAGCCGUUAAGUUUGCCGCCUGGGAAGUACGUACGCAAGUAUGAAACUUAAAGGAAUUGGCGGGGGAGCACAAGCC